RNAcentral lists this ribosomal RNA (475 nucleotides) under uncultured bacterium. Its description in RNAcentral is "bacterial SSU rRNA". It matches the Rfam family "Bacterial small subunit ribosomal RNA", at positions 52 to 518 of the family's 1533-position model. The record is from RNAcentral.
CACAUGCAAGUCGAGGGGCAGCAUAAAAGUAGCAAUACUUGGUGGCGACCGGCGCACGGGUGAGUAACGCAUAUGCAACCUACCUAUCGAGAGGGGAAUAACCCGGCGAAAGUCGGACUAAUACCGCAUAAAACAGGGGCACCGCAUGGUGAUAUUUGUUAAAGAGAUUCGCUGAUAGAUGGGCAUGCGUUCCAUUAGGUAGUUGGUGAGGUAACGGCUCACCAAGCCGACGAUGGAUAGGGGAACUGAGAGGUUGGUCCCCCACACUGGUACUGAGACACGGACCAGACUCCUACGGGAGGCAGCAGUGAGGAAUAUUGGUCAAUGGGCGAGAGCCUGAACCAGCCAAGUCGCGUGAAAGGAAGAAGGAUCUAUGGUUCGUAAACUUCUUUUGCAGGGGAAUAAAGUGCAGGACGUGUCCUGUUUUGUAUGUACCCUGAGAAUAAGGAUCGGCUAACUCCGUGCCAGCCGCAGC